Molecule: ribosomal RNA, 250 nt
Filed under: uncultured prokaryote
Description: partial 16S ribosomal RNA
Rfam family: Bacterial small subunit ribosomal RNA
Source: RNAcentral
UACGUAGGGAGCGAGCGUUAUCCGGAUUCAUUGGGCGUAAAGCGCGCGUAGGCGGCGAUGCAAGCGGAACCUCUAAUCUGAGGGCUCAACCCCCAGCCGGGUUCCGAACUGCACCGCUCGAGUGUGGUAGGGGUGGAUGGAAUUCCCGGUGUAGCGGUGAAAUGCGCAGAUAUCGGGAAGAACACCGAUGGCGAAGGCAGUCCACUGGGCCAUCACUGACGCUGAGGUGCGAAAGCGUGGGGAGCGAACA